CAGUAGCGUAUAUUAAAGUUGUUGCAGUUAAAAAGCUCGUAGUUGGAUUUCUGACUUCAAACACCUGACCCUCCCUCGCUAGAGGUGUGUGUGCCGGAGUGUUUGUAUCAUCCUUUCAGUGAUCGGUUCUACCCUUAACCGGGUCGGAACUGUUAACUGGAUCUUUUACUUUGAAGAAAUUGGAGUGUUUAAAGCAGGCUUACGCCAGAACAUAUUAGCAUGGAAUAAUGGAAUAGGACUAUGGUCUCUUUGUUGGUUUGAGGGACUGCAGUAAUGAUUAAUAGGGAUAGUUGGGGGCAUUAGUAUUUAAUUGUCAGAGGUGGAAUUCUCAGAUUUGUUAAAGACUAACUUAUGCGAAAGCAUUUGCCAAGGAUGUUUUCAUUAAUCAAGAACGAAAGUUAGGGGAUCAAAGAUGAUCAGAUACCGU
This 427-nucleotide ribosomal RNA is filed under the name uncultured eukaryote. Its description in RNAcentral is "bacterial SSU rRNA". It matches the Rfam family "Eukaryotic small subunit ribosomal RNA", at positions 592 to 1018 of the family's 1831-position model. The record is from RNAcentral.